AGCUCCAAUAGCGUAUAUUAAAGUUGUUGUGGUUAAAAAGCUCGUAGUUGGAUCUCAACGGCCUUGGAGCGGUUAUCAUGCUUGAUAGACUGCUCUGUAGGCCGUGCUUUUGCUGGAGGUUUAGGGGUGCUCUUAAUCGAGUGUCUCUGGAUGCCAGCAGGUUUACUUUGAAAAAAUUAGAGUGCUCAAAGCAGGCUGUUACGCCUGAAUAUUCGUGCAUGGAACAAUAGAAUAGGAUGUCGAUCCUAUUUUGUUGGUUUUCGGGACUCGACAUAAUGAUUAAUAGGGACAGUCGGGGGCAUUUGUAUUCAAACGACAGAGGUGAAAUUCUUGGACCGUUUGAAGACAAACUACUGCGAAAGCAUUUGCCAAGAAUGUUUUCAUUAAUCAAGAACGAAAG
Molecule: ribosomal RNA, 400 nt
Filed under: phytoplankton environmental sample
Lineage: Eukaryota
Description: partial small subunit ribosomal RNA
Rfam family: Eukaryotic small subunit ribosomal RNA
Source: RNAcentral